AUGGCCUUUCGCCACUGAUCCGACGCCCUGGAGCUGCCCGACUUCUCUAUGCUCAAGAGGCUGACCCAAGACCAGCUCAUCUACCUGCUGGAGCAGCUUCCUGGGAAGAAGGAUCUGUUCAUCGAGGCAGAUCUCAUGAGCCCUUUGGAUAGAAUUGCCAGCGUCUCCAUCCUGAAGCAACAUGAAGUAGACAAGCUGUACAAGGUGGAGAGCAAGCCAGCCCUCCCUCGGCUCUAAUAAACAACUGUGCUUCUUGGCACAGACCCCGAAUCAAAAAUAUGCGCUACAUUGCCAAUCUUGUCAAUGCUGACAAAUUGGCUGGACAAGCUCAAAAUACAAAGUGAUCUUAAGCCCUCAGAAGUUUUACUCCUGUGAAAUGGUGCUUGAGGAAGAGGGAGUCUAUGGAGAUGUGAGCUGUGAUGAAUGGGCCUUCUCUCUACUGCCUCUUGAUGUGGAUCUGCUCAGCAUGGAACUGCCAGAAUUUUUCAGGGACUACUUCGUGGAAGUAGAUCAGCGUUGGAUCAGCACUGUGGCUCAGGCCCUACACCUUCUCAGCAUUCUCUAUGGAUCCUUUCUGAAUUGCUACGGGAUUGGCAGAUGCGCCAAGAUGUCGUAUGAACUGUGGAGGAAACUGGAGGACGAGGACAGUGAGACCAAAGGCCGUAGAGCAGAGGUUGGACAUGUCUUUCUCCUGGACAGAGAUGUGGACUUUGUGACAGCACUUUGCUCCUGGGUCGUUUAGGAGGGCCUGGUAGAUGACACUUUCCACGUCAAGUGUGGGAGUGUCGACUUUGGCCCGGAAGUCACGUCCUCUGACAAGAGCCUGAAGGUGCUCCUCAAUGCUGAGGACAAGGUGUUUAAUGAGAUUCGUAAUGAGCAUUUCCCCGAUGUCUUUGGCUCCUUGAGCCAGAAGGCCCAGAACUUGCAGGCCCAGUAUGAUCGCUGGAGAGGCAUGGUCAUAAAGCAGAUGAAGAAUUUCAUGUCCCAGGAGCUCAAGGGACUGAAACAGGAGCAUUGUCUGCUGAGUCUGCAUAUUGGGGCCUGUGAAUCCAUCAUGAGGAAGAAAACCAAGCAGGACUUCCAAGAGCUCAUCAAGACUGAGCAUGCUCUGCUAGAGGGGUUCAACAUCCAAGAGAGUACCAACUAUACUGAAGAACACAUUGACCGGCAAGUGUCACCUAUAGAAAGCCUUCAUCUCAUGUGCCUUUUGUCCAUCACUGAGAAUGGUUUGAUUCCUAAGGAUUACCGAUCCCUGAAGACACAGUAUAUGCAGAGUAUGGCCCUGAGCACCUACUAACCUUCUCCAAUCUGCGGCGAGCUGGGUUCCUAACAGAGCAGGUUCCAGGGGAAACCCUCAUGGCAGUGGAGAGCAAAGUGAGCAAGCUGGUGACUGACAAGGCUGCAGGAAAGAUUACAGAUGCCUUCACUUCUCUUGCCAAGAGGAGCAAUUUUUGUGCCAUCAGCAAAAAGCUUAAUUUGAUCCCACGUGUGGACGGCGAGUAUGACCUGAAAGUGCCUCCAGACAUGGCUUACGUCUUCAGUGGGGCCUAUGUGCCCCUGAGCUGCGGGAUCAUUGAGCAGGUGCUGGAGCGGCAGAGCUGGCAGGGCCUCGAUGAGGUGGUACGACUGCUCAACUGCAGUGAGUUUGCAUUCACAGCCAUGACCAAGGAAGAUAGGCUUCCAGUGAGUCCCUGCGCCUCGUCUUGGUGGUGUUCUUAGGUGGUUGUACAUUCUCUGAGAUCUCCGCCCUGAGGUGUGUAGGCAGAGAGAAAGGAUACAGGUUCAUUUUUCUGACGACAGCUGUCACAAACAGCACUCGCCUUAUGGAAGCCAUGAGUGAGGUAAAGGCCUGA
Non-coding RNA from Castor canadensis (American beaver), 1853 nucleotides. NCBI's taxonomy places the organism in Eukaryota, Metazoa, Chordata, Mammalia, Rodentia, Castoridae. The record is from RefSeq and is a predicted model, not a curated record.